Molecule: ribosomal RNA, 515 nt
Filed under: uncultured bacterium
Lineage: Bacteria
Description: partial 16S ribosomal RNA
Rfam family: Bacterial small subunit ribosomal RNA
Source: RNAcentral
GAUGAACGCUGGCGGCGUGCCUAAUACAUGCAAGUCGAGCGAAUGGAUUAAGAGCUUGCUCUUAUGAAGUUAGCGGCGGACGGGUGAGUAACACGUGAGUAACCUGCCCAUAAGACUGGGAUAACUCCGGGAAACCGGGGCUAAUACCGGAUAACAUUUUGAACCGCAUGGUUCGAAAUUGAAAGGCGGCUUCGGCUGUCACUUAUGGAUGGACCCGCGUCGCAUUAGCUAGUUGGUGAGGUAACGGCUCACCAAGUCAACGAGGCGUAGCCGACCUGAGAGGGUGAUCGGCCACACUGGGACUGAGACACGGCCCAGACUCCUACGGGAGGCAGCAGUAGGGAAUCUUCCGCAAUGGACGAAAGUCUGACGGAGCAACGCCGCGUGAGUGAUGAAGGCUCUCGGGUCGUAAAACUCUGUUGUUAGGGAAGAACAAGUGCUAGUUGAAUAAGCUGGCACCUUGACGGUACCUAACCAGAAAGCCACGGCUAACUACGUGCCAGCAGCCGCGGUAA